This 704-nucleotide long non-coding RNA is filed under the name Nicotiana benthamiana. RNAcentral describes it as "long non-coding RNA (NBEN_LNC002650)". Lineage: Eukaryota; Viridiplantae; Streptophyta; Magnoliopsida; Solanales; Solanaceae. The record is from RNAcentral.
UAAGAGAUAAUUGCUCUGACUAUCCCAUUAGCAACUUAGCAUCGAACUAAAAAGUAAUUUGGUUUAGAUAUUAUAGUAGUAAUAGUUGGAGAAAACAUUCAUAUAAUUGUUAGAAAGUUGAUUUGACAAUGGAAAUAUCACUAUGCAUUAAAAUUGAACUUUUAAAUGAUUUCGAUUUGAGUGAUAGGAAAGAUGUUUAAAAUGAACUUAUCUAAGGUUAUCAAUUUUUUUGGCUGCAAAGUAAAAGUAAAUUGAGAAAGAGAUGCAUGGAUGAUUUGUUUAUCGUGGAAGAAACAUUCAUCAACAUGAUUCGUUGACAAGUUAUUUUUUUUUUGAUGACCGAGAAAUCUGUCUGGAGCCGAUCCUUUUGGACCAACUGCAGCCUUCGAAACUCGAUGGAUAAUGGGUUCGCCUCUCUACCCUUCUCCACUUAAAUAACAGGCUUUUGCUUUGCAUGGUGUAGGGGCUUGAACUUGUGAUCUAAGACACAAAUCCACCACCCUUUGCCACUUGAGCUAGGCCUUGAGGGCGACAAGUUAUUUUCUGAUUCCAAAAUUGUCAACAAUGAGGCAGGAACCUAAGGGUGUUGCCUAGCCUCAAAUAAAGUGAGUAAACCAUGGGAGACCAUGGUUCAAAUCCCAAUAGAGACAAAAAACUGUAGGUGAUUUUCUUCCCAUCUGUCUAAGCUUAGUGCAGUGUUUUGG